AUUCAGCCGACGAGUCCUGAACAGGACGAAAUGCACGUCAUAGAU
This 45-nucleotide non-coding RNA is filed under the name Schistosoma margrebowiei. Lineage: Eukaryota; Metazoa; Platyhelminthes; Trematoda; Strigeidida; Schistosomatidae. The record is from RNAcentral.